UACGUAGGGUGCAAGCGUUAAUCGGAAUUACUGGGCGUAAAGCGUGCGCAGGCGGCUUUGCAAGACAGAUGUGAAAUCCCCGGGCUCAACCUGGGAACUGCAUUUGUGACUGCAAGGCUGGAGUACGGCAGAGGGGGAUGGAAUUCCGCGUGUAGCAGUGAAAUGCGUAGAUAUGCGGAGGAACACCGAUGGCGAAGGCAAUCCCCUGGGCCUGUACUGACGCUCAUGCACGAAAGCGUGGGAGCAAACAGG
This 252-nucleotide ribosomal RNA is filed under the name uncultured bacterium. Its description in RNAcentral is "partial 16S ribosomal RNA". It matches the Rfam family "Bacterial small subunit ribosomal RNA", at positions 524 to 776 of the family's 1533-position model. The record is from RNAcentral.